GCGCCCGUAGCUCAGUGGAUAGAGCACUUGACUACGAAUCAAGGUGCCGCAGGUUCGACUCCUGCCAGGCGCGCCA
Molecule: transfer RNA, 76 nt
Filed under: bacterium
Lineage: Bacteria
Description: tRNA-Arg
Rfam family: tRNA
About the family: Transfer RNA (tRNA) molecules are approximately 80 nucleotides in length. Their secondary structure includes four short double-helical elements and three loops (D, anti-codon, and T loops). Further hydrogen bonds mediate the characteristic L-shaped molecular structure. tRNAs have two regions of fundamental functional importance: the anti-codon, which is responsible for specific mRNA codon recognition, and the 3' end, to which the tRNAs corresponding amino acid is attached (by aminoacyl-tRNA synthetases). tRNAs cope with the degeneracy of the genetic code in two manners: having more than one tRNA (with a specific anti-codon) for a particular amino acid; and 'wobble' base-pairing, i.e. permitting non-standard base-pairing at the 3rd anti-codon position.
Source: RNAcentral